Molecule: ribosomal RNA, 486 nt
Filed under: uncultured bacterium
Lineage: Bacteria
Description: partial 16S ribosomal RNA
Rfam family: Bacterial small subunit ribosomal RNA
Source: RNAcentral
AUUGAACGCUGGCGGCAUGCCUUACACAUGCAAGUCGAACGGCAGCACGGGUGUUUGCCCUUGGUGGCGAGUGGCGCACGGGUGAGUAAUAUAUCGGAAUACGUCCUGUAGUGGGGGAUAGUCCGGCGAAAGCCGCUAUAAUACCGCACACGAUCUACGGAUGAAAGCGGGGGAUUCUCGGGUCUCGCGCUCUGAGGUUCGUAGAUGGCUGAUUAGCUAGUUGGUGGGGUAAAGGCCUACCAAGGCGACGAUCAGUAUCUGGUCUGAGAGGACGACCAGCCACACUGGAACUGAGACACGGCCCAGACUCCUACGGGAGGCAGCAGUGGGGAAUUUUGGACAAUGGGCGAAAGCCUGAUCCAGCAAUGCCGCGUGUGUGAAGAAGGUCUUCGGAUUGUAAAGCACUUUUAGCCGGGAAGAAGUCCUGGACGCUAAUACGGUCGGGGGAUGACGGUACCAAAAGAAUAAGCACCGGCUAACUACGUG